UUUUUUUUUUUUUUUCUUAGAGGCCCCCUUCUCAACCUUGCUUACUUGGGAAACUCCUAGCUCCCAUUUUUUCAAGAUUCCCGCUAGUUCUUUUAUGUGUUUCCUGAUAACCUUAGGUAGAAAAACAAAACAAAACAAAGAGUUCUGUUCUCUGGGUUCCUGUAGUAUCUCCAGUCUGUUGAGCAUUUUUCACAAUAUAAUUAUCUAUCUAUAUAUAUAUAUCUUUCUUCCUUCAUUAGACUCUAAUCUCUUUUAAUGCAACAGAGUAGUUUUGUUACUGUUGUUACUUUGGAUCAAUUACUUUAGCUAAGGAGAGGCAGUUCCAGUACUUGGAGAUCACUUUGCUUACAAAGUGUUUGGAGAGGAAUACUCAAGCCCAGAGAAGUUAAGCAAAGCACCUUUGUUUUGAGUGAGAAACACUAAAAUAUUUUGGGUAGAUGAUAGCAGAGAGGCCAAGUGGAAGGAUACUGACUGAGGAAGCCAAUGAGCCAGGCUGGGGCAUCACUGAGGUGUAGUCAUACUACAGGGUGGGCCGGUUAAAUGCUUAACUUUGGUAAACAGACAUGACUUAGGAACAUUUUGGAAAUGGGAACCUAUGGCAUGUGAAAUGUUCACCUUCUCCUCUGACUUGCCCAGCAAAGAGUCAGUAUUUAGUGUUCACCAUUGAUUUUGCUCUAGACCAUAUUUGGGGAAGCAAAAAGAGAUGCUGUAUUUUUCCUCAGGUUUGGCCUAGGGUCAAAGCAGAAAUAACAUAUCUGGGGAUAGCCAGACAUCUAGUUUACAGUGAAAACCUCAGAACUGGCUGAAUACCUGAGACAUGAUGGUAGUCAAUGAAGAGACGAACAAAGAAAUGGAUGAUGGAUUCUUAGCAAAAUGCAGGAAUAGCCAGUACUGUAAUUGACUUAACUUUUUUUCCCCCCCAGAAAUUAGAACUUCUUUAAAAUUAGCAAAGCGGGGGAAAGGCACAGACAAGCCUGAAGAAAUGCCUGCAUUAUUGCUGGUAGCUACAGGAAGCAGAGGUCUACAAGUUGGCAACUUCACUUGCCUCAAGUCCCUCAACAACUCUCAGCAGGGACCAGCAAGUAUCCCUGUCCUGGUCCUUUCUGUCCUCAAAAAGAGACAACCACCUGGACCCAGUCCACACUUUGGAAUCUUUUCUCAUUCACUUAAUGAAACAUAAAUUACCCCAGGGUGGAAUAUAUACAUAUUUAUAUUUUUUAAAGAGGCAGCAUGAUUUAGUGAAAGACAAUGGAGGAAAAAUGUUUAGAUACUUUACCAACACCUCUCACCUUUAUUAAUCAUUUUUGGGUUAAUUAAUGGAAUAAUAACAUAAACAUAGUAAAGAGCAAAAGAUAUAGCAGAUACUCAAUGAUCUAUCGCCUCCCUUACUUGUUGGCUGCACCCUUGGAAUAAGAAGUCAUCUGAUAUGCCGCAGGUCAGUGUUGGUAGAGUAGGUGAAGUACACAUAACAGGAAUGUUCGAGGGUAACAUCUUGGACACUUGAUGAGUACUGAGAAAAGAGGAGUCUUAGGCUCAGAAGACAGAAAUUCUCCCUUUCCUAGUUUUGCCUUAGGCUUGCCUUUGGGGUAGGUUUUUACUAUGCUAUCAGCUGCUUAAUUGCUAUUGAUGAAAAUGUUGUGUCCCCCUAAAAUUCAUAUGUUGAAAUCCUCAAAGUAAUGGUAUUAGGAGGUGGGACCUUUGGGUGGUGAUUAGGUCAUGAGGAUAGAGCCCUAAUGAUUGGGAUUAGUACCCUUAUAAAAGAGAUCCUGGAGGGUUAGCUCUCCCCCUUCCACCAUGUGAAGAUACAAAGAGAAGGUGAUGCUUAUGAACUUUUAAGCAAGUUUUCAUCAGACAAUGAACCUGCCAGCAUCUUGAUCUUGGAAUUCCUCACCUCCAGCACUGUGAGAAAUUUCUGUUUAUAAGCCCCCUAGUCUAGAGUAUUUCCUUAUAGCAUGCUGAAUGGACUAAGACAGAGAUGUUUUCAGAUUGUUGAAUGGCUUAAUAAUCUUGUAAUGGUCUGUCUAGGAUGGGUUUACCUUAUUUUUAUUUGGAUCAUGAAAAAAAAAAAAAACAAAACAGAUCCUUGUUUCAUACUGCUGCAUCACUUAGUUUAAAAAAAAAGAUUUUCAAAAAUAUUUUACGAUGAGAUUAAUUGCUGUUCUUUACUGGGCAUUAUCUAGUCUGUGUUCUUUAUCUAUAAAAAUGCCUAUGUCUCCAAUUUAUAACAGGUUUUAAAAAAAAAUGUGUGCAAAUAAUUAUACCAGCAAACAUUCUAUCUAGUUAAAAUGUAAAUACUUUCAUCCAUUUUUUUUCUUUUGAUGGUAGAAAAUAUGUGUUUCUCAAGAAAUUUGGAAUUAACUACAAAAUCUGUUUUGAAUUUCUACUACCAAAUUAUUUGUGUAUUUGGCAGCUGGGAUUAGUCUACUAUUUGCAUUAUUUUGUAAUGCCUGCACUUGAUAUUAUGUUGUCAAUUUGCAUUUAGUCAGUUUAUUUGGAAUGAUUCAGAUGUUUUAAAUGUAUUUGUUUUUAGAUAGGAAAAAAAAGAUCAUAUAUCCCUUUCACAAUUUACAUGAAAGAUCCAGAUGCAAAUUUACUUGCCUGUCUAAAUUCUUCCCAAGUUUUUUAAGAAAUGAAAUUCUCAUUUCCCCAGAUUGAUUUGAACGUGGUAUGUUGCCUUAUUAAUUGCUAAAGAUGCAGUUGUAAAAAUGCUUAUGUAUCCUUCUUAAAGUUUUUUGUUAGCUCUUGGAAAAGAGGAGUAUAAAAAAAUUGGAAGCAGGAAUUUUAUUACACACUUUGAUGGCUUAGAGUUUUGUUCAAAAUUAGUUUUUAAUUAAAGUAAAUUUUUAUCAUCAAUAAAUAGAUUUGUCAGUAGAUUUUUGGAAGUAGGAACAGAUCAAAUCUAAUAACAUUUCUUUUCCUACACUGUGAAAUUCAGUGAUGAUAACUUUUAUUUGACUAAUGUUUUACAGUCUACAAAACAUUCAGGAGCAUCUUAUUUAAACUUCCAAUUCCCUGUAAGGUAGAUAGAGCAGGCAAUAAUUUUCUUCCCACUUUAUAGUCAAGGAACAGGAUUCUGUGAAGAGUGAAGCUGCAGAAAACAGCGGAAAGGCUGCACUGGGUACUCAUAGGCUUUCUCAUGCUAAUGUCUUUCUACAUGUCCAUGUCAAUGAAGCCUGACCUUGGCUUUCAUUUUUCUUCUUGUUUGCAAAAAAGCCUUCCUACCCAGGAGCUGCAAUAGUGACUCUGCAGUGGAACAUAAAAAAGACAUUUCAACCUUCUGACCUGAUGGUAAAUUUCCAAGGUCAGCCAAUGUCUUUGACUUGACAUUUCUAUGAUUCAAAUACAUGGAUAAACCAUUCGUUCAGUGGGGAACUCAAAUAGGGCCUGUGGGCAAUACAGAUGAGUGAGACCCAGAUUUAUGUGCUCCUUGAUUCAUUUUUCAGAUUGAUUUGUGGUGAAGAAUUUAAUUACUCAUUUGGGUUUUUAAGACAUUUUAUUUUAUUUUAUUUGCUUUUGAGGGUCACACCUGUAGCAUAUGGAAGUUCCCAUGCUAGGGGUUGAACUGGAACUGAGGCUGCUGGCCUAAGCCACAGCCACACCAUGGUGGGAUCCGAUCUGAGCCAAGUCUGUGAGCUUCACCAUGCCAGAUCCUUAACUCACUGAGUGAGGCCAGGGAUCGAGCCCGCAUCUUUAUGUAUCCUAGUAGGAUUCUUAACUCACUGAGCCACAACAGGAACUCUCUACUCAUGUGUUAUAACAUCACCAAGAAUAGACCACAGGGCUUUGUCAGGAAGGCCACUGCUUGUGGCCAGGCACUGGGUAGCCCCUGCCAGGCUUUUGCUAUCCUUGUUGCUACUUUCUAGAUGUGUAGGUUUAUAAGGCAGCCAUUUGUGAUGGAUUUUUGGCAAUAUUAUAACAUGGCCAUUCAUUCCUUAAACAAGGGAGAACAAAAAAGAAAAUGAUUUCUUUUCUGGGCAAAUCUAAUGUGUUAUCUCAAUUCUUAACACUGCCCAUAUAGGUGAUACAGAACUAAGAGUUCUUCAAGGGCCCUUUAAAUAUAACAUUCCCUUUCCAUUCUCAGAUCCUAAAUCCUUUCCACAGCAGUGCACACUAUAGUCUGUCACCUAGUCUCACAUGUCAUAUUGUCUUAAAUCCCAUCUCCUUCUGAAGAAAGUAAUUGUUCCAAGUGAAUGAUGCUAUACCAGAAAACAUUUUCAAGUGGUUGGCAGUAUCUACCUUAUAAUGGCAAUUGAAUUUGAUUAUUCUGAUUUUAAAAAUGUCAUAGAGCCCCUGUUUAUGAAUUAUCUUAUUAAAGCCAUUUGGUAUUUUUCAUAUUGAUAAUAAUUGGAAAAAGCUAAUAUGGCUGCAAGUUUUAAGAGUAACCAGAAGCCACUUAAGCUCCUAUAUUAAAAGAAAGCCCUAAAUGUGGAACGAAAGAUGUUUUUUAAUAUCCUAUGGUAGACUAAUAAAAAAAUUAAACUUAUUACAUGACAUGUAAGACAUGUAAAAUGAAUUAUUUACAAUAUUCUAGAAACAAAUUUUAAGAGUAUCUCAUGUUCCUAAAUGCUUGUAUUUAUUAUGAUUUAUCUAACAGAGAGAAUAUAAAGGAUCCUAUUAUAUUUGAAUUCUCUCUUCCAUGUUGCUCUUUGCAGGUAAAUACUAUGUUUCAUAAUUUUGAAAGUUUCACAUCUCUGUAGCUAUAUGUUCAAUGUUAUACCUUCUAAAUCUGUAGUCACAUGUAUUAUGUAUUUUUAAAGGCUUACUGAAUUUUUCUUUUUUUGUUAAAGAAAAUGAUGCAUCUGAAGGAAAUAAUCUUUUUAUUAUUUUUAUUUUUUUAGGGCCACACUUGUGGCAUAUGGAAGUUCCCAGGUUAGAAGUCCAAUUAGAGUUGCAGCUGCCAGCCUAUGCCACAGCUACAGCAACCCGGGAUCCAAGCCUCAUCUGUGACCUACAUGAUAGCUCAUGGCAAUGACAGAUCCUUAACCCACUGAGCGAGGCCAGGGAUCGAACCUGCAUCCUCAUGGAUACUAGUCAGGUUCGUUAUCACUGAGCCACUAUGGGAACUCCAGUAAUCUUUCUAAUACACAUAUCUUCUAAUUUAUUUGGGACCUCCUCAUAUUCACAUGUUGAAAAUUUUAAAAUAACUUCAAGGUCACUUAUUCCAUAAAAAGCACUUUUCAUUUAAAAGUACAUUUAACAUGUAGUAAUUUGGAAAUAAAUCCAUAAGGAUAUUGUGAAAGAAACUCCUGGGUUGUAUUUUUGGAAGAAAAUAAUUUGUAGUUCAGUGUAUUCUGAAAAUACAU
This 5303-nucleotide long non-coding RNA is filed under the name Sus scrofa (pig). Its description in RNAcentral is "lncRNA (ENSSSCG00060041094.1)". Lineage: Eukaryota; Metazoa; Chordata; Mammalia; Artiodactyla; Suidae. The record is from RNAcentral.